CUUUGAAAUUUGCACAGGGUUAUUAUGCAGAUGGCGGCAGGGAGGUCUUGGCUCCCCCACAUAGGUGACAAACGCCACCUCCACCCACCACACAUGUUCCUCCUCAAGCCUACGUUUGUUCAGUUUUUGGAAGCUUCCAGUAUGAGCCUUCCAAGGGAGCUCACCUUCCUCAUCUGCAAGACCUUGUGACACAUGGGUCAAUAUGAGACAUAUUCCCUGUCCUCAAGGAGGUCACCAUCUGGGACACAUGUCCCAGAACCACCUUGCCUCUGCUCUGUUCUUUUACCCAAUGCAAACUGGCUUCUCUUCCCUUGGGAGGUUCCCCCUGACCCAGCAGUUGAAGCUUGGUGGCCUCCUUUUGGGCUGGUCCUGUUGGGUUCGUGUGAACAGGGGUCAAAACAUUCCUUUCAUCUUUAUUCUCCUUUCAGUGACCAGGAGUCCUUCUUAAACCCAAGUGUGGCUUUCAUAUUCCUUGGCUCCAGAGCCUUCCCAUGAUUCUCUGUUGCUUAUGGUAUAUUAUCAAUUUUAUUUUUUGCAUGGCACCCCCUUCCCUUCUUUCUGCUGGCUGCACUAACUCCGUGUGUGCUUGCUGUCCUUGAAAUGAUAGAAUUUUAGGCCCAGGGCCUUACCCAAUUGGUACAUUUGGUCCGUAAGGUCCUAUCUCCCAAUCACCCUCCCUUUUCAUCCCUCUCCCCGAAUGCUGCCACGAACAUCUAUUCAUUCUUCAAAGUCCAAUUGAAAACUCAUACUCUGGCAGCUUCCCUGACCCCCAUACAAAGUGAAGUUUUUGUGCCUAAUAUCCAAUUAUUCUAACUGUGCUGUACUGCUGAUAAUGCAUUAUGGUUAUUUGCAUAUUGCCUUAUCUUUUUCACUGACUUAUGGGACUAAUUAAUUCAUUCAACCUACUCCUUUUUUUGCCCAGCAUUUAAUAGAUGCUUAAUAAAAGUUUGUUAAAUAUAAAUGAAUCACUUAACUCCUCCACUUCCUCCAAUUGAGUACAAGCUUUGGGGGCAGCCAUUCUGUUUUUCCUCUUUGUUUAUUCCAUUGAACUUAGUUUGGUAUCUGCCACAUAGCAAAUGCUCAAUGAAUGUUGAAAGUGGUAAUAUGUAUCUAUGUAUCUGUAUAUGAAAGCCUGAAUAAAGCCACAUACAAAAUUUGCCUGGUAGCAUUCCAAGUUAGGGGGGAAGAUGGGAGAAAGAUGGUAACAUUGCCCAUUUUUUGGAUGAGAAGCCUGAACAACAGGGAAGGUAUAUGGUGGGUACAACUCUGACUUCCUAGUGUACUACUUGCUUUGCUUCUCUGGAUGCUUCUGAAAGUCUCAUCUAAGGUAAUGUCAAAGAAUCGGGUAGACAUCACAACCUUGAAGAAGUCUUAGGGUCUUGGGAAAGAGCUGAGGUCUUGUCUGCUGAGCACAUCCACUAUGUGAAUGAACCCCCACACGUCCCAUGUCCCCUCCCACAGGAGAUCAGGGGCUCUUUCUAGUUGCACAAUUCUGUUUUUCUUCCACUGGAGAUCCAAGGGGACUCAGGGUUCAGCCCAGCUUUCCCAUCAGGACUGUGGGCAUGUAUAUGACAAACAUUAAGUCUCUAUUAAAAAGCAUUGGUUCAGAGUGUCUGGGUGGUUCAGUCUGUUAAGCAUCCAACUCUUCAUUUGGGCUCAGGUCAUGAUCUCACGGCUUGUGGGUUCGAGGCUCACGUUGGGCUCUGAGCUGGCAGUGUGGACAGAGCCUGCUUUGGAUUCUCUCUUCUUCUCUGUCUGCCCCUCCUCUGCGUGUACUCUCUCUCUCAAAAUAAAUAAACAUGAAAAAAAAAGCAUUGGUUCAUAAUUUUGAAUUUGUUUUUCUUUUUCUUUUUUUGGAACCAGAUUCAUUCACCCAGCCACAUUUAACAGCUUCUGGGGCUGUGUGUCAGACAUUCUGCUAGUUGCUGGCAUAGAGUGAUGGAGAAAGUAAACACAGUGCCUGGUCUCAGGGGCUCCCAGACUAGCAGGGCAGGCCGACAGAUACACAUUUGCUCACACCUGACUACUAUGCAGGGGCAACAUGCAGAGGCCCAUGAAAGAGGCAUUGGGCUGGAGCUAGGGCUCCGGGUGUGACUUGGCCCCUGCCUUUUGACCGGACUGGAUGACUCAGGGCAGCCAGGCUGGAGAGGCAGAAGGAAGCAAGGAGACUGAUGGAGGAAAUGCUUCAGAGAAGAGGAAAUAUGCAGAAUGUCCCUUUCUCAUCCCAUGUGGCUCAGGUAGCUUUCUCUCCUAUUAUUCUAAGCUCUGCCUUGCUCAUUCUGUUCCCCUUCCUUGCAGAGUUUAACCCUGUCUCUAUUUUCUGUACUCUCACACAGGCACAGAAACGUGCAUGUGAACACACACACACACAAACACCCCACUAUGGCCUCUGCUCCAGCUUUCAGAACGUCUCUUUCAGGGAGGGAGUGGGCUCACUUGCCUUUCUGAUCUCAACUGUUGCUUUCACAGCAGCUGGCCUGCCUAGUGACGUUUUGUUCCUAUUGAGACAGUAGAAACCAAAUAAAUAGAGGCAAGCAAAAUAUGGAGUUCAAGGAAACAGAAGGAAGGGAGAGAGCUAAGCUGUUUUGCCCUUGUAGAUAGGAAACCAAGUGCUUUGCUAACGAUUACCUGGGGUAGGGCGGGAUGGGGGUGGGGUGGGGUGGGGAUCUGCCCUGCCUGAUGGUUACGUUCUAUUUUCAAACUGAACAAGUUGGUAUAAAAAAUGAAACUCUCAUAAAAGUUAAAAUGGCAAAUGUCGAUUUCCUUGUUUUCCGGAUUUCACAACUCAGGCAGAAGAGGAGUUAAAUUGUAGUAGUGCAAGGAAAUAGCAGAGCAAAAGUCACUGUGCUGUUUCUUGGAACAAUUUCUGCCCAACCAGUUAUCAUUUCUCAAGCCCUCUGAAAGCGUGCCAAAAGCUGUCUGCAUAAGUAGCGACAGGCUGAGCAGCCAGCACUGGGUGUUCUAGACUUUGGGCGUAAUGCUCAGCAGCUUUUACAGUUAUCUCUUUAAUUGGCCUCUGAUUUGCUUUUAUUUUAAGCAGUGCCUUUUGGUGGAAAGUGCACUGAACUAGGAGUCAGAAUAUCUGGGGUCUAGUCUUACCAGGCCAUAGCAAACGACUGCCUUUGGGAAGCAUCGUAUUUUUUACCCAUGAGAGGAGAAGCAAUUAAAGCAGAGGUCUUUAAGGCUUCUUCCUACCUCCAAGAGCCUUUGUUCUAGGUCAGGGGUUGGCAAACGAUAGCCCCACUGCCUGUUUGUGUUCUGUCCAUAGGCUAAGAGUGGUUCUUCCAUUUUUAAUGGUUGAAUGAAAUCAAAAGAAGAAUAAUAUUUUGUGAUCUAUCAAGAUGAUCUGACUUCUAAUUCAAUGUCCAUAAAUAAAGUCUUAUUGGCUAUGGGCCUCUUCACUUGUCUAUUGUCUACGGCGGCUUUUUUAUUGCUGUGGUAGAGCUGAGUGGUUGCAGAGACCGCAUGGCCUAAGAUGUUUGCUAUCUGGUCCUUUACAGAAAAAGUUUGCUGAUACCUGUUGACCACAGUGAAACAUAUAUUCUUACUUUCUACAUUCGUGAAAACGAUAUACCUCAGUGAGUUACUGUAAGAAGUAAAUGAGCUAGGGGCACCUGGGUGGCUCAGUUGGUUAAGCAUCCGAUUUCGACUCAGGUCAUUAUCUCACAGCUCGUGAGUUCAAGCCCCACAUCGGGCUCUGUGCUGACAGCUCAGAGCCUGGAGCCUGCUUCAGAUUCUCUGUCUCUGUAUCUCUCGCUGCCCCUCCCCGGCUCGUGCUCUGUCUCUCUCUCUCUCAAAAAUAAAUAAACAUUAAAAAAAUAAAAGGAAGUAAAUGAGCUAAUGAUGUUUAUUGAAAAAGGAUGUCAUGUACAUAAAUACCUCAGCACCUGCGGGUUUCUGGAUGGAGAAGGAAGAAACCCUCAUUAGUAGUUUGUACAAAAACAAGCUAUAUUUCUCAUUCAGCAGGGUUGAAAAUGUAUAGGAUUGCAGUUGUGUGAAAUUAUGUGUACAUCUGUAAGGGAAAAUAACAAGAACUUACUUGCUAGGUUGGUAUGAUUCUAGACGAAGGGGUGUGUGUGUGUGUGUGUGUGUGCCUCAAUUAUUUAAACUACUGCUAAAACUGUUUUCAAAUAAAUACGAAAAGGGGGAAAGUAUCCAGUCACCUUUACUUUGAUAUUAAUGUUGAAAAAAAAGGGUUUUUUUAAAAUUUCCAGGUGAAUGUUGAGCUUUAAUGGAAGAGAUUUAGUUAUCUGUGUGUUCCAUACUAAGUUGUCUGUAGGCAGCUCUCUCCUAAACAAUUGAAAGAUAUGAAGAGUUAAAUAUUGGAAACAAUAUAUUUUUUAUUUUUAUAUGGUUUUUUAAAGUUGAUUUAUUUUGAGAGAGAGAGAGAGAGAGAGAGAGCAGCAUGAGCAAGGGAGGGGCAGAGAGAGAACAGAGAGAAUCCAAAGCAGGCUCUGCACUGUCAGCACACAGAACCUGAUAUGGGGGCUUGAUCUAACGAACCGUGAGACCAUGACCUGAGCCAAAAUCAGGAAUCUGACACUUAACCAACUGACCCACCGAGGCUACCCAACACUAUAUGAUUUUAGAAAAAUUACAACAGCCAUGAUUUAUGGGUUUUGUUAUAAUACUAUUAGAAUAACCCCUCACCUGUUAAAUAGGUGAUCUUUUACUUAAGUGUUUAGCAAGAAAAACAAAGUUCUACUUGUUUAAAAUUUAACUAACUCAGCUGAGAGGAAAACCGAACAUUUUCAAUGGAGAUUGGGUCAGUUUCAGGUUUGGCAAAAUACACAAAGAUCAAAGUCUUUCAUGAGAGGUUCAGAGCUUGAGUGUGCCAAAGAAUAACCUAGAGAUAGUAGAACUUGGAUUUCACAUCCUAUUUUCUAAUAGUCACUGUCUAGGGAGCUUCCAGAUCCACUCAGUUAAUUUCAUUUGUCAUUGGUAUAUAAAUAGCGAUGUCCUUUCUCCAUGAAAGUGACCAGCAGUUUGGUUGAACUGGUGGAGUUCUCUGUGGACACAGCCUUACAGUGAGCUGUGUGCAAGCUUCACACAGAAAGUGGGAUUGCCCCUCUCUCUUUCCUGAGGUGCAGAAUGAAAUUUCAGGAGGCUGGGGCACCCAAUUCCCUGGGCUGGCAAUGCAGCUUCUCUUGGUAGUAGCAGUGGGACCUUGGGCAAGCCACCUAAUCCCGCUGAACCAUGACUUCUUCAUCUUAGUUUUUAAAUUUUCAUUUUAAGUGUAUUUGUUUAUUUUGAGAGAGAGAGAGGGAGCAAGUAAGCAGGGGAGGGCAGAGAGUGAGAAUCCCAAGCAUGAGCCUGCCAUGGGGCUUGAACUCAUGAACCAUGAGAUCAUUGACCCCAGCUGAAACCAGGAAUCCAAGCCUUAACCGACUGAACCACCCAGGUGCCCCCACUUCUUCAUCUUAAAAGAGGAUGAUAAUAGAACUCACUUCAUAGAUUGGUGAAUACUAAGAAAAUUUGUGGAAAAGGGCUAAUGUUCAAUGAAUGUUAGCCAUCCUUAUUAUCAUGGGUGGUCAGGGUAGCUAAAAAGCAAAAAUGAAUCAAAUAGUUGCGGGGGGGAGGUUCAAGCAAAUGCCUUUUCAUUUUCUGCUAGCCCUGAGUCACGUGAUAAAUGUAGACUGUCCAGCUCACUGGUUUCUAAAGGAUGGAAAUGUCUGGCAGAAUUUGUUAUCAACUUUAAGUCUGUAGAAUGCCUUAGGCAGAAGUUCUUUAGCUCUUGAUGAGUGAUUUUUUUUUUUUUACAUUAAUAUACAUCCAACAGAAUGAUGAAGUACAUGCCGGCCAUUGGAUGUGUCAGGAAUGGUCAAUAAACAAUGACAAAGGAUCUUUCACAUUCUCUCAAUAAACACUGCUGCUCCUUCUCACCAUCUUCCUUGAUAAACACCAGCUGGAGUGAAGCUUUCACCCGAGAGGCAGCUCAUUGCCAUGAUGGAGGAUAAAGUCAGUGGCUGCCUGAAUUUAUCAUUGCCCCUCUUUUUUUUUUUUUUAAAGGCAUGGUAACUGGUGGGGGCUGCCUGGUUUUGGACCCUGGAUUCUAGUGGCUUCCUUCCUCACGUGGCAGACAUCAAGUGUGAUGACUUAUUUAUCUUUUUCUUUAACUCUGUCAUCCCAGCUUCUUGCUGGGGUGGAGUGAGGAGGAAAGAGACUUCAGGGCAGUUGAGUGUGAGAGUGGCCAAUAGGGGAGGGGAGAAAGAGGAUUUGAAGAGUGUGUUGUACAUAAGGAAUGGGCAUUCCCCUCUUUGCUGUUUUCACGAGAAACAAAAGAAAGGAACUAAAUGUAUUUUUGGAUGUUGAACUAGUGUUUAAUUGAAUGCUAUACUGGACCAAGAUGGGGCCACCACUCUCAGCUCCUGGCUUACUCCCUGUGCCUAGGACAGUGCCUGAUGAUGGUAAGCACUUAAUACAUAUUUGUUGAAUGAGAUACCAGCAUUCUGGUUCCAGGUAUAUAUCUCAUGAAUCCAAUGCCAUAGAUUUCCAAAUGUAUACAUUAAAGAUAAACAUCCUCUAAAUCUCCUUUUUAUGGAAGGAGCCAGUUAUUAUAACUCUUCUUUUGAAAUUUCCCUGUCCUCCUCUAGAGGAAGAUAGAUGUGUGGUAAUAUCCCAUGAACAAGCUAUAAUAUAGAAGGGAAAGUGAUCUAAUAUAGUGGAGAAAUGGCCCCAGGUCACAAUCAUGAGUGGGUGAGGAAAAGAAGGGGCACAGACACACAGAGGUUGGUCAUGUGAUUCCUGAUAUGAGCUUGGGCAUAGGGUUGAGGGACAUCCUCUUUAUUUUGUGCAUGUAGGGCAGAUGGAAGGGGGCUACUCUCUUACCCUGGACUUUUACUCCUGAUUCUGACUCAUUCAGUAGAGGAGAGGGGCAGGUGUAUGUUUGUGUGUGUGUGUGUGUGUGUGUGUGUGUGUGUGUGUGUAGCCUUGAGCCCUGUUUAUAAGUUGAGUUUGAGGUCUGUACAUGGGUCACAACUGUGCCCUAGUGGGCCCCUUCUCAUGAGAGUGGGGGUUGGGAGGGCUUUAAAGGAACCAGUGGCUUUGGGAAUAGUCAUUCAUGUAAGAACAUAAAUCCCACCAGAUGAUCAUCAUAAAUUCAAAUGUAUUUAAUUGAGUAAACAUGUAUUGUGCUCCUAUCAUGUGUCAAGUGCUAGGGCUAAAAAGAUGAACAAGAAACAAAAUCUAUUCCCAGGUGUCCCACAGCUCAGUGAGAGAAUAUAAAAGUGUAAUCAGUAUCAUAAUGAAGUACGCAGAAGGUGCUGUGGGAGGGGGGAGCAAUCAAUCUUCGGCUGUAAGCUAGAGACAGCAGGCCAUUUGAGUUGAGCCAUAAAGGAUGGUUAGAAGGUUGUCACAUGGAUGAUGUGGGGGAGGGGAAGGAAAGGACAUUUUAUGCAGAGAGAAUAGCAAAGAACCAAAGAGGGGCCAUGCAGAAAUGCAUGAUCUUUUGUUGGUACAGCAAAAGGUCAGAGAUUCUAAAGUGUGUGGUUCUAAGGAGAAAGAAGGUAGAGGAGAAGAUGGAAGGAUACAUCCUAUCCCAAGGCUAGUCCGUUGCAGGUUGGGUUUUCCAGAUGCUUAGAGUUUGAAAGCAUGAUGUUUCUUAACCACCAAGGCUAAUGAAAGAAGAGGAAACAGGAUUGGGCAGAGAGAGAAACUGAAUCCCAACGUAUACUCCACAAAACUUCAGCCACCCCAGUGGGAAGUCUUGUUCACCUCCUAGCUUUGGGCAUCACUAGAAGAGUGGACCAUUUAAUGGCAUACUUAGGAAGUCAGUCCCUGCCAACCCAUGUAUCUGCUCAAAGUUCUUAAAGGACCCUAGUUGGGGUAGUGGCAUCCAAUGAAGGGUUGGCUUUUAUUAACUCCUCAGUGGUAGUGAACACAGGUCCUACACCUAGACCAAGACCCAAUUGUGGCCAAGAGAACCACCUUGAGAAAUCUAAAAGCCAAUUCAUGGCUAAAUGUGCUGUAAAUAUUGACCAGUCGUUGUGGGUUGCUAUUAAUACCUUGAGGGCAAGCUUUUCUAUGAAGAUAGAAGUCAACAGCCACAGACCUCUCAGUUUGGUGGUGAACAUAUCCUUGAACUCCAUGCUUCUUUCCCUCUGUUGAAUGAUGAGACAGGCUGUCAUACUUGACAUUGCCAAUAACCCUUCAGGAGGUCUGUGAGCAUCAAAUAAAGGGAACACCAGGUUGUGUUCCAGCUCCAGUAUGAGCUGGAAUAAUGAAAAAAUAUGGCUGAGGGCUCUUUGUUUUGUAAGCUGGGUAAGGCUAGAGAAUGGCAGGGAGAGUGGAACAGAGUUGUGGCCCAUUUGUCUUAUUACUUGGUCCCCCAAAGACUCAUCCUUGUCUUUUUUUAAAAAAAAUAUUUGAGAGAGAGAGAGAGCGAGCGCACAUGAGCAGGGGAGGGGCAGAGAGAGAGAAACAUAGAAUCUGAAGCAGGCUUCAGGCUCUGAGCUGUCAGCACAGAGCCCGACGCAAGCUUGAACUCUUGCACCGCGAGAUCGUGACCUGAAACGAUGUCCGACGCUUAACCAACUGAGCCACCCAGGCACCCUGACUCAUCCUUGUUUUUAACACCACACUGCCUUCGUUUAAAUCCUGGUGUAGGCACUUCUAGCUGUGUGACUCUGAUCAAGUUACUUAACUUCUCUGUGCUGCAAUUUCUUCAUACAUAAAAUGGCAACAAUAAAGACAAUAACUACAUAGGGUCAUGGAAAUUGUUAUGAAGAUUAAAUGCCUUGAUGAGGCUGAAGAGCUUAGAACAAUGUCUAAUGUAUAGUAAGUGUUCUGUAAGAGUUAGCUCUUACUAUUAUUAUUGAAAGUCACUUAAAAUCUAUAACCCCAAACAUUUGAGACCCUGGAGACCUUUGAAAAAGAAGAAGAAAAGAGGAAAACAAUGUGGAGAUGGGCAUGCCACUUCCUUCCUUCACUUAACUAAUAUUUUGGCAAUAAAUAUCCAGUGCCAGGUAACUAUGUGAAGACAUGGGGUAGCCUGAAGAAAGAAGAUACAGUUUCUGCUCCUGAGGACUCACAGUUUAGCUGGGGUGGAGGGUGGGGGGGGCUUAUACACUUAAGUAAAAUAUCAGAAUAUGACGUCCUAUGUGCUUGAUUAGAGGUAUAGAGAGAUGGCUACGGGAAGCGGCCAAGGCUUUGGAGAAGGAAUGUCAUGGGGUGAGGAGGAACUCAGUGGGUGCAGGUGCCACGGGAGGAGGAUUUUGCUGGUGGAGGUCGGAGCAGAAUAAAAGCGAGAAGGUGUGGAGGGGCUCGAUGCUCCAUGCAGGGAGAGCUGAGCGCAGCCAUUGCAGGGAGAGGUGCAGGCUGAUGACGGAGCAGGUGAGCCAAUGCCAGGCUGCUGACGGUCUUGAACCACCCAGCUGGGGGUUUGAACUUCACUCUGACAGUAGAGUGCAGGGGCGAGAUGUGAUCAGAAUCUGGGUCUCAGAAGUCUUGUCUGGCUUCACAGCCAUCCAGAGUCCUUUAUACUUCCUCCUGAGAUCCUUGGUGCUUAGAGUGAGCUUUGGGGACCAGCAGGGCCUGUCAGCCAUGCAGAAUCUCAAGUCUUCCUCAGACCAACCCCCCCUCAAAACUCACCAGACCAUUACAGUCUGAGCUACACUGUGUAUUUGGGUUCAGAGAGUUUGCCUUACAAAUGUUGCCUUCUCCCUCAUUCUGUUGCUGGAAGGCUGAGCUCCAUGAGCAGCAAGAAGCUGGGGUUUUGGGGCUGAGGAUUGCUCAGGUGAGGUGUCCUCUGGAAGGCUGUGGUUCCUAUAUUGCUGCCGGGGCUCCUCAUCCGUGUCUGUCUCGCAUGGCUUUUCUCAGUCAGAGUGUUUGCACUCAGCAGCAGGGACACAGACAUGUUUCAAGAUGUUUCUGCUCAUCAAGGGCUUAAAAAUUGUCAUUAUCAGAUUUUCAUGUCCAGCCCUUGAAAGUAAUAAUCUGUUCCCAUAGAUGUCUGCCCUGUCAGGCUUUCUCCUCCAUUGCAUUAACAGCCCCAUUUGUGAUAUUUAUUUUCCAAGUUUCUCUACCCUUCUAGAAGUUUCCAAAGUUGCCUCUGGGUCUCUCUCUGUCUCUCUCUCUCUCUUUUUUUUUUUUUUUUUGCAGAGUAGGGUGUCUUUUCAAACAUUAUUUAAUCUACCAGCAUCCCUUCAGUGGUAAGCACCAUGAGAAGGAAGCCUUCCUCCUUUUCCAGGAUGUAUUAACCUCAAAGAAAUAAGAACGUGGAUCUGGGGAGAAGGAACAGCCACAUCCCAAUAUCUAGGUGCUGCCUGUCACCGGCUCAUACCCAAAGGCAAAUGCAUAUGAGUUGGAUGCUGCAUUGCCCCAAGUAGAUGAGCCUCUAUUCAUCAAAGACUUUCUUUGAAAGCUUAAAGUAUAUCUUUUCAGUGCUGCUCCGUAUUUUUCUCAAGCUACUGUAGGGUUGGUAUGCUAGCUCAAAGUACAGGAAAAGCCAGGGAAAUUGUGAGAGAAUUCUUUUUUGCCUUUCAACCUCAUGUGGUUACUGAAAAAAAAAAAAAAAUCCGCAGACCUGCCUGGAUGGAUCUUACCGAAUCAACUCUGGAAGCAGAUAGCCCAUAGCAGAACAGCCGAAUUGGACAUUCUGUUCUCACAGAAUGAAUGGUCUGCUGAGCAGUUAAUCAGCUCUUCAUUCCAACUCAGGCAAGAGAAACAGACGAAGGAAGCUGGUGGGGAAGAACAGAACUUCACCUUGUGUAUCAAGAGUAACUCUGAAAGGGACACUAUUAGAAUCUAUUCCAACAAAGACAUCCUACCAGAUCCGAAGACGUGAAAACAAACAGAAAAGGAUUCGAGUCCUGUCAUAUAGCACAGUGGUCAGACCAAGUUCGCUCAGCCUUGGCCCUAUUAACAUGCUGGGUUGGAUAGUCUUCUGUGCAGGGCUGUCCUGUGCUUCAUAGGGUGUUCAGCAGCAUCCCUGGACACAUUCCCUUGGUCGUAACAAGCAAAAAGUAUCUCCAGACAUUGCCACAUGUCUCCUGGGGGUAACACCACUCCUGGCCAAGAAAAACUAGGCUAAAGAAAGGGCUAACUGGAUUCAUGACCCAACUCUGCCACCUACUAGCUCCAUGAUCUUGGAUAAGUCUCUUAGUCUCUUGAGCUCAAUUUUCUCAUCUGUAAAAAUGGGGCUACCUCACAGGAUUACUAUAGGAUUAGGCACUUAAAUAUGCAUAAUCUAGCACAUAGUACAUGUUCAAUAAACAUCAACUAUUUUUGUGAUGAUAAUCACGUCCUCUCACCUGAGGUAAAAUACUGUAACCUGUAAACUGGAACGACUCAUGGAUAAGAAGAUUAAGGACAAAGACCACAUCUUAGAUUAUCACAUGGGGACGAGGUCUGCUGUAGUGGACAAAAGCACUGGUUCGCCCUACAUUUGUGUUCAGCUAAAAGAAAAGCACUACACACAUCGGAUUAGCAGGGAAGCUCUGGAAAUUCUGAAGGACUCAAACAGUGUUAAUAGGGGUGCCGGAUUUAACCUUGGAAAUCUGGAAAACAACAGGGCACAGUGUAAACAGAGUAAAAAAAGAACAGAGGGCCUUUUAGAAGAGCUGUAAGGCUUAACCAAAAUCCUUCCCCCUCCCUGUGCAACACCCACUGUCUCACUUAAGCGCCUCCCUUAGAAAAGUCCUUUGAGGUCUGAAGUAACCAGCAGUCCUUGCUGAGGAACAUGGCAACUUCGCCUUCCACUGUAAGUUGCUCAUGGUUCCUGAAGCCCGAAGCUGAAGCAUCUGGUGUUCUCUGAGAUGCUGAACCAGGAACUCUAGGCAGAGCCUGGGGCUGGGGGUGCAGGACCGGGAGUCCCAAAGAAUGGAGUUAAAAUUGACUGAAAGGCCAUUGCUUUUGAUGGAUUUUAUGAUGGAUGCAUAAAAUCAAGCAAGAUGUGAACUUUAAAUUGAUUGCAACAUGUUACCUUAUCACUGUGUUCCCUGAUUAAUUUCUGGUCUGAUCUUAUCUUGCAUUUCCCAAGAUGCUUCUGAAGGCUUUCAUGUCCAGCUUAAAUCACACUUUUCUUUUCUCCUGCCAGUAUUCCAUGUUCCCAGGGUGCGAGUAGAUGGGGAAGCAUUUUCUAUAGGACAAGUUAGUGCUUUUGGGGGCCUCUCCCUUGCCUAUAGCAAAUUUCUCAGGGUGUGAAAGAAAAAUCAGACUCCAUGGAGUUCUUUUUGCUUUUUUUGGUAUAUCUUUAAUCUGCAAUCAUUUCAAGGCCUUGGUUUAUUUUUAUAUGUUACUCAUCCACUUUUUUGCUUUAUAUUUCAUUUUAUCCUGUAUUUAAAUCUUCAAAUUUCAAUAUCACCUUGAGUGUUAUCAGGGUUAUUCCUCAUGCCAAAAGCUCAGAAAUACUGGUGUAUUUAUGUAGGUUUAUCUGGCUUUUUUUUUCCUUGAGGUACUGUUAUUAGUCAGAAUCCUGGUAGAAAGAAGGUGGCUGAGUUGAAAAGAACAUUAAUGAAGCUCUUUGGGCAGAGUUAAAGGAAACAACUCCGGAUGGCAAGGCACCUGGGAACCAGGAACAGCAAAGACCUGUGACCUCCCUGAAGCCUGAGGGGCCAUGAGGGGUGGGGAUAGGGAUGUCUGAGCCUGAUAAGAAAUGUACUGGAAGGGGCUCUCACAGGACGAUAGCCACGUGGGAAUACAACCACCAACAGCCCUUUGGAGAGACACGAAGGAAGCAGAGAGAAUAAACACUCCAACUGUCUUUUCUCCCACUUUUUGGUUUCCUAGUGGUGCCUCUGAUUGGCCAAUCUGGAUGACCCAGUCCACAGAGAUUAGCGUCCCUGACACAGAGAAGGGCAGUGAAUAGAUCUGGAUUGAGGUGGGAAUAAAGCACAAACAAUAACCAACAUCAACUUCUUCUUCACUUUUGGCUGUUGAAAUUCUCAUUAGGGUAUCAAUAGAUGAGCAACUCUCAGUAGAUUAUCAAUGGUGAUGAGUACACAUGAAUGCAUGCCAAUUCUAUUCUUGUUAUGAUGAAAUCAAUUUUUGCUCUUCCUAGAGAUACAUAUAUAGUUUUGUUUGUUUUAGGAAGCUUCUCUUUCUCCUGCUUGAUCAGUCUGGUGUCCCUGUAUAGAGUGGACAACUGUCUUUAAAAACCUGAAUGCCCACACAAAGAAUAUAUUGGAAAUGUUAAUUCUCAGCCCCCACAUGACAUCUACUGAACCAGAAACCUGGUGGGGAGGGUGCCCACUGAUUUGUGUUAACAAGCCCUCCAGGGAGUCUGACGCAUGCUCGCGUUUGAGAAGCGUGGGGCAAGAUGUUGUGCAGAACAUCUCUGAUACUUCUCUCACACCACACCUUUUUGUUCUGGGUGUUGCUGUGGCAACCAGCAGUGCAUAAGUAUAGCCUGACCACACCUCGCUUCAGCUGCACCACAUAUAUCUUCUCUGCCUCUGGGCUUCUCUUCCACUGCGGUGUGGUAUAACUGGGGGGAGCAUUCUCAACUCUUCCUAGGCAUGUGCAAACCUGGAAAUGCUAAAGUGUUCAUUAGUAGCCCUGGGGCAGCCUUGUGGACCAAUGGAGGUUGGGAGCCAGUAGAUAUAUAUCUCUCCCAUGGUCCUGGGGUGAAGGCGCAUUCAACAUGGCUCCUCAGUAGUUUCCAGUGGAACUGAGCUCCAUUUGCCCAAAGUACUAACAAGCUCAGUAAUACUCCUUUGGAUUGGCUUUCUGUCUUCCCAAUCACUUUCUAAAAUUAACCACUACAUGCAAACCCUUGUCUCAUGCUCUGCUUCUUGGAGGAAUCCAAGCUAAGACAAAUGUUCUUUCCUCAUCCUUUAGCAAUAUUUUACUCAAUAGUGCUUAUUUUUACCAUCUUAGCAGUGGCUAUAAUCUCUCUGGCAAUAUGGUUCCAUAGUUCUCUGUCUCCCCAGUAGGUUAGUAUUCUUGAGGUCAGGGACCUUAUUCAAGGAAUGAAUACUCUUCAUUCAAGGAAUACUCCCCACCCACCCUUGUCCUGGUGGGUUUUUGUAUAGUGCUGAGCACAAUAAGUGUUGAAUUUAACAGACUGUCAGCCAUGUCUGAUGACUUGUAAAGUCACAUUGUAAUAUUCUCAGUGUGUCUGACUUUGGAUAGUGUUCUCCUUUAUUGUUACAAUCUUGAAGUUAUGGCCUUUCUCUUUGAGCUAUUUUCAAUCAAGUUGUUGCUCAAAAAUGAGGUUGGAUUGCUUGUGACCAUUCAGUACAGCCAGGCCCCACUUCACGGACAUUGAGCUGUGAAGUUGUAGAAGGUCCUAUGUUCAGAAGGGUCCCACCCUUGGAUAAUGCUUGGCUCUUGCCAGUUGGAACAACUUCUUCUUCUCCUCCUCCUCCUCCUCCUUCUUCAAUGUUUACUUAUUUUUGAAAGAGAGAGAACACAUAAGGAGGGGAGGGGCAGAGAGAGAGGGAGACACAGAAUCUGAAGCAGGCUUCAGGCUCUGAGCUGUCAACACAGAGCCUGAUGUGGGGCUGGAACUUACAAACCAUGAGAUCAUGAUCUGAGCUGAAGUUGGUCACUGAACCGACUGAGCCACCCAGGCGCCCUGCCAUCUUGAACUUCUUAAUAAUUUUAUCUUUGUGGUUGUGUUUUGUGAGUGAAGUUCAAAGGACAUUGGAAUAUACAUGUGAGCAGAGGAGAUAGACAUAACAUAUGCAUCUAUCCUUCCCUACUUCCCAGUGUAAUUGUUCAUGAUGUUCCAUGAGCACAGAGUCCCAAGCCGAACCACACACAGGAAGCCAGCAACACUUAAAAUGAAUACCAGGCAAGUGUGUAAUGUUCAUCACUGAGCAAUCUGAGAAGGGGAAGGUAAGUAAGGAGAGGAAGUGGGGAGAGAGGGUAAGAGGCCAUGCUUUCCAGGUGGAACCAGAACAUGCUUCCAAAGAAAGAAGGCAACAGUGUUCCAAGAAACACUGGAGACCAGGGAACCCUAUCAUAUCCUUUCUCGCUCAUUUUACUUCCCUGUAUUAGCUCACCACUUCUUCUGAAAAUGAUGAUAUAGAAGAAUAGGAAAAGGUAAGGUAACUCCAUGCUUUUCUUUUGGUCUUCCUUACCUAUCAAUAAGCUGAAGAAAGAAAGUGUUGGUAGAAUGGGCACAUAACAAGUGGUGCAAUAAACACAGUUUGGUUAAUUUUGUUCAGUGUCUCCAUUGUUCUGAUAAGAAUAAAAUGGAUAUAUGAGCUAUAAAAUUCCAGUUGUUUAAUUUCAGUGAUUCUGCAUACCAGCUGAAUGUUGUUAUGUUCGCACGUAAAAUGAUCAUUGCAUGAGAUAAAGAUGAAUGGGAAGAUUUAAAUAUAUUCACAUGUGAAAAGAAAUAUUCAUAAAAAAGAAAAAUAAAAAAUACAUUAAAAUUUGUGUAUAAUGAGCCACACUGUAUGUGUGUGUCUCAAGCAUGUAAAAUAAAAUGCUUUAAUAAAUAAGAAAUAAUAAGACUAAGGUGAGCUGCUUCUAAUCCCAGUUAGAAUGUGCCAGGCUUUGGGAAUAAAAAGAUAAAAGCCAUCGUCCUUGCCCAAGGACUUCACAGAUUAGCAGGGGAUUCAGACAAUCAACUCAACAAUCAGAGAAGAGGGUGGUGAGAGCUCUGAACAUCUAGCUGCUUGGGGAUCAGGAGCAAAGACGGCAGGCAUGUCAGUGGGGGUCUGGAUGCUGGCUCACGUAGCCCUGGUCACCGGUCACACACACACUCUAGCAUGGCGCUUGGCACACAGUAGGCACGCAAUCAUCAGAGGAAUGAAUCUGAUUCAGGGUAGCUUUCUGGAGGAGGUGAUUUUUUUUAUGUUUUUAUUUUAUUUUUGAGAGGGGGAGAGAGAGAGAGAGAGAGAGAGAGAGACAUUGCACGAGUGGGGGAGGGGCAGAGAGAGAGGGAGACACAGGAUCUGAAGCAGGUUCCAGGCUCUGAGCUAUCAGCACAGAGCCCGACGUGGGGCUUGAACUCAUGGACUGCAAGAUCAGGACCUGAGCUGAAGUUGGCGCUCAACCAACUGAGCCACCCAGGCGCCUCUGGAGGAGGUGACUUCUUAACUGGAAGUUCAGUACCCUGAGCUUGCGGACACCCCAGUUGCUCCAUUAACCUCCAAACAUCAUGUGAGUGAUGAAUAUUUCUUUUCACGUGCAAAUAUAUUAUAAGUUGUGAAGAGAAGAGAAGCCUAGGUGAAACGGUAUUUCCAAGAGUCCCUUCUAGGAUGAUGACCUUUGUGUCCAACGUCAGGAGGGAAAGGAAACAUUGGGGCUCUCAUUCCUGCCUUAGGUGUUAUUCUUAAUUACAAGGACAGGGUUUAAUUUUGCAUUAUACAUUUUAUGGUUAAGAAUUAGAGAAGUCUUUGUGUAUUCCUUAUCCAGAUGCAAUGCUUUCAUUUCAUAAAUCCAUCCAUAUAACCUAUUCUUUUUGCCUAUGUACUUCAUAUUUCUUUGCAAGACACUCAACAGCCUUCAUCCCUGAGAGAAAGAGUUGUUCCACAAGGCCCUCCUCAGGCAGCCCCAGAACCUCCGGAAGGUGACAUGUGGCAAUAACCAUCAUCCACAGAGCUUCCAAAGCAUCUCACCUGCCCAACCUUAUGGCUCUUCUGCUUGGUGUCACCGUUGUUCAUGUAUUAAUUAGGCCGGGAGUUUCUUGAGAGUGGCUUUGUGUCUAAGUCACUCCUGGAAUCCAGUACAGUGUCUGGUACAUAGAAGGAGCACAAAAAAAUGGGGUUGGUUGAAUGAAUGACCCAAUAUCAUCUGACUGCUCCCAAGCUUCUUUAACUAUGGUCUUAGGUGUCUCACCUCUUUAUCUUAUUUAUCACUCUUUUCCUGACACUUUUUAAAUAUAGAACAUACACACAUUUGCAGAGGCUCACCUCCCUCCCUCCAUAUACACACACUAGCUUUGGAAAUGCAGAGUGAACUUGACUGAAAGAUUUUGUCAGGGCACUUACACUUGUUAGGACAGUUCACAGAAACAUAAAAAAAAUGAUGGAUUGCUUCGUCCUGGCCCUUACACAUCUUAGCUCGAUGGAAUGUCUUGGUGGUAUCUGAUUUCAGAGCACACCUGUAGACCUAGUGACAGCCUGUGCUCCUGAGUGGGUUUAGGAAAGCACUUAUUUAUUAUAAAGUUAAAAUUAAACUACACGUUUUUACAUGUUGUUUAGUGGCAGGAGCUGAUGCAAAACUUUGUCAACACAGAACUUUUCACACCUCGG
RNAcentral lists this long non-coding RNA (17147 nucleotides) under Lynx pardinus (Iberian lynx). Lineage: Eukaryota; Metazoa; Chordata; Mammalia; Carnivora; Felidae. The record is from RNAcentral.